GGGGUCCUGGUAUCAGACAGGAUGCAGUGCCUUCUUGGACUCCUGGGGCCUGUCAAUCACCUUGUGGUUCAGCCCGCCCACUGCUUCCGGAAAGAUCAGUGAACUGGAACAAUCCUCCCAGUUCUUCCACCCACAUCCGUGUUACAGGAAGGACCAAACUUUGAACCCAACUAGACUUUUGUAGGAAGCCGGCUAAUGUGUUCCAGGAAGCUGUGUUAAGGGAACACAUGAAGCAAACGGCAGCUUGUGAGCUCACAGUCCUCUGCACAAAACCCUUCCCUGAGGGAAAGCAGAGUCACUUUGCAGUCAGGCCACAGUUUAGUUUCCACAGACUGAUGCCACCUAGUGGCGACACCAAAGCCUGGACAAGGAUAUCACCUUUCCACCUUUCACCUUUCACCUUUCACCCAGCAAGAGAAAACAAAACAGAAAAAUUCUUUUUUUUUUUUUUUUUUAAAUUUUUUUUUCAACAUUUAUUUAUUUUUUUGGGACAGAGAGAGACAGAGCAUGAACGGGGGAGGGGCAGAGAGAGAGGGAGACACAGAAUCGGAAACAGGCCCCAGGCUCUGAGCUGUCAGCCCAGAGCCUGACGCGGGGCCCGAACUCACGGACCACGAGAUCGUGACCUGGCUGAAGUCGGACGCUUAACCGACUGCGCCACCCAGGCGCCCCAAAACAGAAAAAUUCUUAUUGUGUAAAUCCGAAGAGCUAGAUUGCACCGUGUCACUUUCAAAACAGCCCUGAAAGGUACAUGUUCCUCUCCCUAUUUUGUGGCUGAAGAGAUGGGAAGUGUCCUUAGAAGUGUCUCAGUCAAUGUCACAUAACCAUCCCCCCCA
Molecule: long non-coding RNA, 836 nt
Filed under: Felis catus (domestic cat)
Lineage: Eukaryota; Metazoa; Chordata; Mammalia; Carnivora; Felidae
Description: lncRNA (ENSFCAG00000041226.2)
Source: RNAcentral